AAAAAAUGCCUCUAUUUCCCAUCUACUUGACAGUUAUGUCUCUAUAAUCCCCUUCCCUAGGGAGAGAAGGCCUAACUAGUAAUAUAGGAAAUUCAAUCUCUCUGCUAGCUUCAAAUCAAAGCUUGACUAAGCAGGAUAGGAAGCAGCGAAGCUAAGUAGCAUGUCAGGGAAGGGAUUAGCUGGGAAAACUUGAUGAGCAAUUGUGUCUUGCCAUGCUUAUAAAUGUUAAAGCAGAAGGGGAUAACAUGGUAUCUGUAGGAACAGUACCUAUGAACAUUAUCCAGGGAGCUGCUUUGGUAUAUACAUGUAUGAAAGUUUUGGCUCUGACAAGGGCUCUACAACUCUCGCAUAAAAAUUAAUGGAUCGGUGCUGAUUAUUGCAGAUUACAUACAAUGAAGCUUUAUUCCAAAAACAUCUGUAGAUCAUUUUGCUAGUACAAUCGCAACUAGUUAUAUAUGAGACAUCAGCAUCGGAGCUGGAUAUAAUUAGAGAUAUUUCUCGGACCUUCCCAUCUCAUGUUCUCUUCCAGCAGAGACAUGGUCCUGGUCAAAGGUCGCUGUACAAUGUUUUGAAGGCUUACUCUGUGUAUGAUAGAGAUGUUGGAUAUGUUCAGGGGAUGGGAUUUUUAGCUGGUUUGCUGCUUCUUUAUAUGAGUGAAGAGGAUGCUUUUUGGUUGCUGGUUGCAUUGCUGAAAGGAGCGGUCCAUGCUCCAAUGGAGGGAUUAUAUCAGUUAAAGAUUGCAAGCCAACAGAAGUUUCUUGUGCUAACCAGCUCAUAAAGAUUUUGGCUGACACAGAAUUCUUAUCCAGCCAGAUUGGGUUGGUAGUGGGACAUCAUCACAGAAUUAGGGCAACAGAAAUGCUUCAUCUGUGUCAUCAUCGAGAAAACGUGCAGUUGCAAAAUUGUUCAUGAGCAUCCUUAAACACCUGUAGAAUAGUUGAAGAUAUAUGUUGUCUGGUCCCCUGUGCUAAGCCUGCAGAUACACAUUUCUUGGAAGCAUCAUGAUUAGUUUUUCAAUAAGAAGAUAGAUAUCAAGAGCACCAUUGAAGAA
Long non-coding RNA from Populus nigra (black poplar), 1051 nucleotides. RefSeq lists it as uncharacterized. NCBI's taxonomy places the organism in Eukaryota, Viridiplantae, Streptophyta, Magnoliopsida, Malpighiales, Salicaceae. The transcript is spliced from 4 exons. The record is from RefSeq and is a predicted model, not a curated record.